This 941-nucleotide ribosomal RNA is filed under the name Psychrobacter sp. 21F07-Zb4-9. RNAcentral describes it as "bacterial SSU rRNA". It matches the Rfam family "Bacterial small subunit ribosomal RNA", at positions 529 to 1468 of the family's 1533-position model. Lineage: Bacteria; Pseudomonadati; Pseudomonadota; Gammaproteobacteria; Moraxellales; Moraxellaceae. The record is from RNAcentral.
AGGGUGCAAGCGUUAAUCGGAAUUACUGGGCGUAAAGCGAGCGUAGGUGGCUUGAUAAGUCAGAUGUGAAAGCCCCGGGCUUAACCUGGGAACGGCAUCUGAUACUGUUAGGCUAGAGUAGGUGAGAGGAAGGUAGAAUUCCAGGUGUAGCGGUGAAAUGCGUAGAGAUCUGGAGGAAUACCGAUGGCGAAGGCAGCCUUCUGGCAUCAUACUGACACUGAGGUUCGAAAGCGUGGGUAGCAAACAGGAUUAGAUACCCUGGUAGUCCACGCCGUAAACGAUGUCUACUAGUCGUUGGGUCCCUUGAGGACUUAGUGACGCAGCUAACGCAAUAAGUAGACCGCCUGGGGAGUACGGCCGCAAGGUUAAAACUCAAAUGAAUUGACGGGGGCCCGCACAAGCGGUGGAGCAUGUGGUUUAAUUCGAUGCAACGCGAAGAACCUUACCUGGUCUUGACAUAUCUAGAAUCCUGCAGAGAUGCGGGAGUGCCUUCGGGAAUUAGAAUACAGGUGCUGCAUGGCUGUCGUCAGCUCGUGUCGUGAGAUGUUGGGUUAAGUCCCGCAACGAGCGCAACCCUUGUCCUUAGUUACCAGCGGUUUGGCCGGGAACUCUAAGGAUACUGCCAGUGACAAACUGGAGGAAGGCGGGGACGACGUCAAGUCAUCAUGGCCCUUACGACCAGGGCUACACACGUGCUACAAUGGUAGGUACAGAGGGCAGCUACACAGCGAUGUGAUGCGAAUCUCAAAAAGCCUAUCGUAGUCCAGAUUGGAGUCUGCAACUCGACUCCAUGAAGUAGGAAUCGCUAGUAAUCGCGGAUCAGAAUGCCGCGGUGAAUACGUUCCCGGGCCUUGUACACACCGCCCGUCACACCAUGGGAGUUGAUUGCUNCCAGAAGUGGUUAGCCUAACCUGUCAGGAAGGCGAACCCCCUAGAGUGUU